Long non-coding RNA from Gavialis gangeticus (Gharial), 668 nucleotides. RefSeq lists it as uncharacterized. The record is from RefSeq and is a predicted model, not a curated record. The transcript is spliced from 2 exons. Lineage: Eukaryota; Metazoa; Chordata; Crocodylia; Gavialidae.
CGCCGCGCCGCGCCCCCAGAAGCUGGCCCAGAAGGACCGGCCCGGGACUGCGAGAAGAAACGUGGCGCGAGGCUAUGAGGCAGAUCCGGGUCCGCCCGCCCGCCGGGGCAGGGGCACGCACAGCACCCCCUGCCGCCCCGCCCCGGCCCAAGGGCGGCCCCGGUACCUUGCGGAGAGGCUGCUUCUUCGGUAGCUGACAAAGGGGCAGUUGUGCAAGAUUAAUUCAGCCUGUGAUGAUGGCAAAGUUGAAGAACAGAGUGGGGGUAACGGGCACUUGUUUUCUCUGUUUAUAAUCAUGCCACAAAGGCCUUGCAAACAUAACUACAUCUAUGAUCCCUGCCCCCUCCCCAGCUUUCCUUCAUUGUCAUUAUAUUACAAUAACCUCUAGGAGCUCCAGGGAAGAUCCAGACGACGCCGUGCCAUACACUACAUAAUUAUACAGUAAGAGAGAGUUCCUUUUCUGAAGGGCCGAAUGCAAGUAGACAAGACUGACAAAAGGAAACAGAAGCACUAGAAGGUGAAGGGACUCUGCUAAGGUCAGAGCACAAUUUAGAAACAAGGCCACAAUCAGAACUCAUGUCUUCCCAUAGUUCAGAGCUCUCUAGCACAGCACGCACUUGACCUACUGCCAGGGACCGCCGUCCAGACAGGCUUGUACGCAAUGGAAA